CACUGGCCCUAGAGCUGUCGGCGCCUUCCCUUUUCCUCUCCCCAUGUGUAGCCACAGGCUUCGGCAGCCAUCCUCCGUCGAACCCUGGUCCUCUGCAGGCCUCUCCCCGUGACACAAAGUCCUUGCCCCGGCCCUGCACUUAAUAGGUCCUUGCCAAGAAUACGCUGAGCUAGAUUUCAGAAGUUUAUUUAUUAGGGAGGGAAGAGGUAUAAAGAAACUUCAGUUAUCUGAUACAAGCUCAGUAGGGGCAGGUCUCUGUCACUAUCACACACAAGGAGGGAUGAAUUGCAAGAGGAGGAUUUUCAUGAUGGAGAGAAAAGAAGAUACCCUCUUUGGAAUCCAAGUACACUCAGCUAGUAUUUUCCAUCAUUUUGGAACCUAAUUUUCCCAUGAGACUUCCUAAAGGAAAGAAUCAGAAUCAACAUUUCAUGAAUAAAAUGCCAGAACUACAAAA
RNAcentral lists this long non-coding RNA (454 nucleotides) under Canis lupus familiaris (dog). Its description in RNAcentral is "lncRNA (ENSCAFG00845021798.1)". Lineage: Eukaryota; Metazoa; Chordata; Mammalia; Carnivora; Canidae. The record is from RNAcentral.